Molecule: microRNA precursor, 198 nt
Filed under: Globisporangium iwayamae DAOM BR242034
Lineage: Eukaryota; Oomycota; Peronosporomycetes; Pythiales; Pythiaceae
Description: microRNA MIR821
Source: RNAcentral
AGGUUUUUCUGUAGAAAAAGCGAAUUUAAAAAACAUAGGACCUUUUUGACUUGGAAUUUGUAUGAAGACUUUCCUAUGUUUUUUAUAUUCGGCUCGCGGUUACGCUUUCGAAUAUAAAAAACAUAGGAAAGUCUUCAUACAAAUUCCAAGUCAAAAGGUCCUAUGUUUUUUAAAUUCGCUUUUUCUACAGAAAAACCU